Molecule: ribosomal RNA, 465 nt
Filed under: uncultured bacterium
Lineage: Bacteria
Description: partial 16S ribosomal RNA
Rfam family: Bacterial small subunit ribosomal RNA
Source: RNAcentral
GACGAACGCUGGCGGCGUGCUUAACACAUGCAAGUCGAACGGAAAGGCCCCUUUGGGGGUACUCGAGUGGCGAACGGGUGAGUAACACGUGAGUAACCUGCCCUUGACUUCGGGAUAACUUCAGGAAACUGGGGCUAAUACCGGAUAGGAAUCCUUGCUGCAUGGUGGGGGUUGGAAAGCUUCGGCGGUUUUGGAUGGACUCGCGGCUUAUCAGCUUGUUGGUGGGGUAGUGGCUUACCAAGGCUUUGACGGGUAGCCGGCCUGAGAGGGCGACCGGCCACAUUGGGACUGAGAGACGGCACAGACUCCUACGGGAGGCAGCAGUGGGGAAUAUUGCACAAUGGGCGGAAGCCUGAUGCAGCAACGCCGCGUGCGGGAUGACGGCCUUCGGGUUGUAAACCGCUUUCAGCAGGGGCGAAGCUUGUGGUGACGGUACCUGCAGAAGAAGCACCGGCUAACUACGUG